GUAGUCCACGCCGUAAACGUUGGGAACUAGAUGUAGGGGCCAUUCCACGGUUUCUGUGUCGCAGCUAACGCAUUAAGUUCCCCGCCUGGGGAGUACGGCCGCAAGGCUAAAACUCAAAGGAAUUGACGGGGGCCCGCACAAGCGGCGGAGCAUGCGGAUUAAUUCGAUGCAACGCGAAGAACCUUACCAAGGCUUGACAUAUACCGGAAAAGCGUAGAAAUACGCUCCCCGCAAGGUCGGUAUACAGGUGGUGCAUGGUUGUCGUCAGUUCGUGUCGUGAGAUGUUGGGUUAAGUCCCGCAACGAGCGCAACCCUCGUUCUAUGUUGCCAGCACGUAAUGGUGGGAACUCAUGGAAGACUGCCGGGGUCAACUCGGAGGAAGGUGGGGAUGACGUCAAAUCAUCAUGCCCCUUAUGUCUUGGGCUUCACGCAUGCUACAAUGGCCGAUACAGAGGGCUGCAAUACCGCAAGGUGGAGCGAAUCCCAAAAAGUCGGUCUCAGUUCGGAUUGAGGUCUGCAACUCGACCUCAUGAAGUCGGAGUCGCUAGUAAUCGCAGAUCAGCAACGCUGCGGUGAAUACGUUCCCGGGCCUUGUACACACCGCCCGUCAAGUCAUGAAAGUCGUAACACCCGAAGCCAGUGGCCUAACCGCAAGGAAGGAGCUGUCGAAGG
RNAcentral lists this ribosomal RNA (672 nucleotides) under uncultured Actinomycetes bacterium. Its description in RNAcentral is "bacterial SSU rRNA". It matches the Rfam family "Bacterial small subunit ribosomal RNA", at positions 790 to 1462 of the family's 1533-position model. Lineage: Bacteria; Bacillati; Actinomycetota; Actinomycetes. The record is from RNAcentral.